Molecule: long non-coding RNA, 406 nt
Filed under: Homo sapiens (human)
Lineage: Eukaryota; Metazoa; Chordata; Mammalia; Primates; Hominidae
Description: HSALNT0152386
Source: RNAcentral
UUGGGCCUCUCUCUCAUGAUGGUGGCUUUCACUGUGAUGCUUCCAUGCCCUUUGAGCCCUGAGUGCAAGGCCAAGGUGCCCCCACAGCUUCCUAGUUGCUGCUGAGUUCCCCACCCCCCAGAUGGGAGGUAUGCACCUCCCAUUCUGGGUCUCAAUAGAUCACCUGGGCCCCGGUCCUCUGAAAGCCUAUUGAAUACAAGUAAGUAACACAAGGCUGUUUUGUUCAUUACCCCUAUAAUUCAAGAAAUCCAAUUUGCGAGACAGAAUUGACUUGAGGCCAAAAACUCCAGGGUCAUUCUGCCCCAACUUGAAUCCUGGCACCACUUACUGCUAUGUGAUCUCAGAUGCCAUAACUAAUCUCUCUAAUUCUAUUUCCCUGCAUUUAAAAUGCAGGCAAUGCCCAUGG